GUAGGCGGCAAGCGUUGUCCGGAAUUAUUGGGCGUAAAGCGCGCGCAGGUGGUUCGUUUAAGUCUGAUGUGAAAGACCCCCGGGCUCAACCGGGGAGGGUCAUUGGAAACUGGGGAACUUGAGUGCAGGAGAGGAAAGUGGAAUUCCACGUGUAGCGGUGAAAUGCGUAGAUAUGUGGAGGAACACCAGUGGCGAAGGCGACUUUCUGGCCUGUAACUGACACUGAGGCGCGAAAGCGUGGGGAGCAAACAGGAUUAGAUACCCUGGUAGUCCACGCCGUAAACGAUGAGUGCUAAGUGUUCGGGGGGUUUCCGCCCCUCAGUGCUGCAGCUAACGCAUUAAGCACUCCGCCUGGGGAGUACGGUCGCAAAGACUG
This 376-nucleotide ribosomal RNA is filed under the name uncultured organism. Its description in RNAcentral is "partial 16S ribosomal RNA". It matches the Rfam family "Bacterial small subunit ribosomal RNA", at positions 527 to 896 of the family's 1533-position model. The record is from RNAcentral.